AGAGUUUGAUCCUGGCUCAGAUUGAACGCUGGCGGCAUGCCUUACACAUGCAAGUCGAACGGCAGCGGGGACUUCGGUCCGCCGGCGAGUGGCGAACGGGUGAGUAACGUAUCGGAACGUACCUUUCAGUGGGGGAUAACGUAGCGAAAGUUACGCUAAUACCGCAUAUUCUGUGAGCAGGAAAGCAGGGGAUCGCAAGACCUUGCGCUGAUUGAGCGGCCGAUAUCAGAUUAGCUAGUUGGUGGGGUAAGGGCCUACCAAGGCUACGAUCUGUAGCGGGUCUGAGAGGAUGAUCCGCCACACUGGAACUGAGACACGGUCCAGACUCCUACGGGAGGCAGCAGUGGGGAAUUUUGGACAAUGGGGGCAACCCUGAUCCAGCCAUGCCGCGUGAGUGAAGAAGGCCUUCGGGUUGUAAAGCUCUUUCGGCCGGGAAGAAAUCGCAUAGGUUAAUACCCUGUGUGGAUGACGGUACCGGAAUAAGAAGCACCGGCUAACUACGUGCCAGCAGCCGCGGUAAUACGUAGGGUGCGAGCGUUAAUCGGAAUUACUGGGCGUAAAGCGUGCGCAGGCGGUUUUGUAAGACAG
Molecule: ribosomal RNA, 588 nt
Filed under: uncultured beta proteobacterium
Lineage: Bacteria; Pseudomonadati; Pseudomonadota; Betaproteobacteria
Description: bacterial SSU rRNA
Rfam family: Bacterial small subunit ribosomal RNA
Source: RNAcentral